RNAcentral lists this ribosomal RNA (414 nucleotides) under uncultured bacterium. RNAcentral describes it as "bacterial SSU rRNA". It matches the Rfam family "Bacterial small subunit ribosomal RNA", at positions 28 to 440 of the family's 1533-position model. The record is from RNAcentral.
GACGAACGCUGGCGGCGUGCUUAAUACAUGCAAGUCAACUGAACUUAAGAUAGCAAUAUUUUAAGGGAGGUGGCGCACGGGUGAGUAACACGUAGGUAAUCUGCCUUUAGGUCUGACACAACCCCGAGAAAUCGGGGCUAAUAUCAGAUGAUGCAGCGGCUCGACAUCGAGACAGUUGUUAAACCUUCGGGGCCUAAAGAUGAGCCUGCGUCUGAUUAGCUGGUUGGCGGGGUAACGGCCCACCAAGGCAACGAUCAGUAGCUGGUCUGAGAGGAUGAUCAGCCACACUGGAACUGAGACACGGUCCAGACUCCUACGGGAGGCAGCAGUAAGGAAUAUUGCUCAAUGGCCGAAAGGCUGAAGCAGCAACGCCGCGUGGAGGAUGAAAUACUUUGUAUGUAAACUCCUGUGAGA